RNAcentral lists this ribosomal RNA (500 nucleotides) under uncultured bacterium. RNAcentral's name for it is "partial 16S ribosomal RNA". It matches the Rfam family "Bacterial small subunit ribosomal RNA", at positions 30 to 523 of the family's 1533-position model. The record is from RNAcentral.
AUUGAACGCUGGCGGCAUGCCUUACACAUGCAAGUCGAACGGCAGCACGGGAGCAAUCCUGGUGGCGAGUGGCGAACGGGUGGGUAAAGUAUCGGAACGUGCCCAGUCGUGGGGGAUAACGUAGCGAACGUUACGCUAAUACCGCAUACGAUCUAUGGAUGAAAGCGGGGGAUCGCAAGACCUCGCGCGAUUGGAGCGGCCGAUAUCAGAUUAGGUAGUUGGGGGGGUAAAGGCUCACCAAGCCGACGAUCUGUAGCUGGUCUGAGAGGACGACCAGCUGCAUUGGGACUGAGAAACGGCCCAGACUCCUACGGGAGGCAGCAGUGGGGAAUUUUGGACAAUGGGCGCAAGCCUGAUCCAGCCAUGCCGCGUGCAGGAUGAAGGCCUUCGGGUUGUAAACUGCUUUUGUACGGAACGAAAAGGUUUGACUUAAUACGUUGGACUCAUGACGGUACCGUAAGAAUAAGCACCGGCUAACUACGUGCCAGCAGCCGCGGUAA